CCUCCUCUGCUUUUUGUUUUGGAAAGCAAAAGAUGUUUGGUGACUUUGUGAAGAAAAGAGUAAUAAAUUCUAGAAUGAAAAAGUGUUUUACAUUUAUGAUUCGACUGUGUCAGUGAAAUACUAUUACAAUAAUGUAGUUUUUCUGUAACAGGGAAAACGGCCGUCCGAACCUGAGGGUCGGAGUGACAGAUCGGCAGGGAAGAAGAGCUUGUGGGGGUGGGGUCGUAAGUCAUGUGCCACGUAUAUGCGAUGUCUGUGACAGGUCAGCUAUUUGUGUUUUGGUAACAAUUUUUAUCACAAUUUUUUUAAUAAUUAUAACAAAUUUGCAAUAAACUAGUUUACCAAAAUUCAUGAUAAUUUGGAUUUUACAUGCAUAGUAUUCUUGUAAAUUAUAUACACUAAUUUAAUAUUAAUCAGAAAUCGAACCCACGUAUCCAUGUAUCAUUUUCUUGGUUUUAAUGAAUUUCAAAUGACAAAAAAGGAUAGAGUCGCUUUUGCUUCUUUGGAAAAAUCAAUUUACUUCUACCAUUUUGGUACCCAUAAAAUUUUGGAGUUUAGUAUGUUUUCUUAUUUAGCUGAAUUUAAAACUUGAUUUAGUAGCAUAUAAAACAAAAUUGCUUUUCCUAUCCUUGAAUUAUUACAUUUUAGGUUUGAAUAAGUGUCAUAUAGUGUAUUGCAUCGAAUUAGACUCUUAGUCGUGUGAGGAAGCCAAUAGAGAAACUUCCAAGUGCUCAAAGCCAAAGCGAAAACGUUGUCUCCAAAAUCAAGGUCCCACCAAUAGAGAAAAUGUACACACCUGUUUGGAAUGUGUGUUUGUGUCCUCUCAGUCGUCAUGAUCACUUUGCCCCGAUGCACGCCAAAGCUUAUAACAUAAAACAAAAACUAAGAAAGCUUCGAUAUUAAGUUGUUUAUGAUGAUGAUGGUUGAUAGAAGAGUUAACGGGAUAUGAAUGUUAGUGAUGCUCUGUGAGUCGUCAUUCUCACUCCAUCUAUCAUUCCACUGUUUCUUCUUCAUGGUCCCAUACUUGACACUCACAAAGGAAAAGAAAACUACGGCUUCUAAUGAUUAUGAUCACACCAAUAUAGUUAGAACGAUUCAUUCUUGAAAUGGAGUAGACUAACAACUUUUCAACUUAGAACAAUCUUUUAGCUGCAUGUGUGCACACAUUAACGAGGACACAUCAAAACCUAUAUGAUGGGACCAUGUAAUUCAAUCGAUACCUAAAAAUAUAAGCGCUAUUAUAUACUCCUUAACCAUUAUGAAUUGUCGACAAUCAUCUCCUAGAAACUAAGUAAAUUUGCUAAUCAUAUGCCUACAAGACUAAUGAGCUAUGCAUUAUAUUUCAACCACUUGUAUUUUGAUAGAGGGAAAUUACUAGUUUAAAGGUUGAUUUAUCCACACGUUGUGAUGAUAACAAAAGGGUCGCAUAGUAUUCAUAAGCUCUUAUGAAAAGCGUUUUGCUUUACGGCUAAGCACACAAGAGGUCUAUCAAACCUAAAGUGAUAUGUAUAAAAGCCAUAGGCAUAUGAGAAAUCAUUAUCAAAAAUCAUAUGUGAAAAUAUCAUUGGUUAUUAUGAAUUAUGUCAUAGUGACGAAGACUCAAGAGUGGUGAACUUAAAAAACUGAAAUCAAACCAAAUUUCAUAAAUAUCCGAAUGGAUUUUAAUUAUAUCUAUGAAACCGAAAAAUAAAAACCGAACUCAGAACCAAAUCAUGAAUGAUGAAUUUUUUUUAUAUAUAGUUUAUAUACCUCAAAUAAUUAUAUUUAGUUUUAAAAUAACAAAAUAUCAUUAAAACACUAUCUUAUAAACGGAAUUAUCCAAAAAAUCGAAUUACGCAAAAUAUUUUCUUCUUUGGUAUUUUUUACAAAAAUCAAAUUAUCUAAAAUUUUCUUCUAAAAACAACUAUCCAUAAAUUUAUAUGAACAAAAACCGAAGCAGAAUCAAAUUGGAUCCAAACCUAAAAUCGAAUUAUCUAAUAUUAGCCAAUUUCUAAUUUUGUCAUCCGAACCACAAACCAAAAAAACCGAAUCGAACUUAUAUUUUAGAACCUAAAAAAUCUAAAACUAAAUUGCAACUAAGUGCAACUAUCAUAGACAUAGGCGUGUAGUAAAACCAAGAGCAAACUUAAAAAAAAGAAGUAAAUGUAAAGAAAGUCGGCAGAGCCUCUUCCAUUUAUUACUGAUGGAUAUAAGAAAAUGAGGAAAUGUAAAGUCACCCUUUACAAGAUGUGUAUAAUUUAGACGUAACUGAUGUAAUAAAAGCAGUUCAAAGAGAAAACAACCAAAGCAAAACCUUCAUUGCCAUCAUGGUUCGAAACACGUAAGCGGAUAAAAAGCUUUACCCGCGAGCAAAACGAGCCUGGAUCCUCCUCUGGAUCUUGGCCCGACAAGACGGACAAUCAUCCAUGGCUUCCUUCUCAUGAAGCUGAUUGCAUUUAGAGCAAAGAACCUGAUGAGCACAAGGCAAGAAUAUCACACUCAUCUCUUCAGACAAACACAUCACACACUCCCUCUCCCUUUUGAUCUUCCCCUCUGUCCUAUGAUUGUUCUCCCAAAUCAGACUUGCCUUUGUAGUGGUGGUACGAGUCAUUUCAUUGCUUCCAUCAAUACCUUUCUUCAACGCAGCUAUCUUCAAACAAUCUGACUUGAGUUUCAGCUUUGAGAUCUCGCUCUCCAGUCUCUUGAUGUUCUCGGUGUAGUAUCUCACGUCGUUUUCUGCUUUUGUUUUGAUUCUCUCUUCUUCUGCUUUUCCAAGUUCCUCCAGUUUCACUCUCUCUUCCUUUAGUGCAGUCGCUUGAGCAGCAAGUUUCUCCUUUGCUGCCUUUUCUUGUUUCCAAGUAGCCUGCAAACUUAGUUUCAUUAAUUAUCUUUCAUCACAUCUUCUUCACUCAGGACCGGAUCUGAGAUUUUGGAGGUUUAAAACAUUUCCAAAAAGUUUAAAUAAAUAAAAAAAAUCGCUUAAUUUAGAGCCUAUAAAAUAUGUAAAAAACCUUUAAAAAUUUUGUGGGCCAAAGCCAAUGUUUCAUUGGUCUUUGCCCAGAUCCGGCCCUGGACUGCACUUAACACUACAAUCUUUCACAUACCGACCACUUCUAAUCAACACAUCUUGAUGCAAAGAACCAAAAGAUACCUUCUCUGUUGAAGGAUAUGAUCAGUAAUCAAACAAGAAGACCUUAUACUUGCAAAAGGCUUUUUGUCUAACCUCAAUUUGGUUUUGGCGAUUUUUCGCCUUGGCAACUUCUUGCUGCAGCUCUGCCACCUUGUCUCUUUGACUCUUAACCUCUUCCUGCAACAAAACCUUCUGCCCUUCCCAUGACUGACUGCUCUUCAACGUCCUUUGCACUCUCUCCUUAGCUUCUUUAUAGUUCACAGCAGCCUCAACAGCUCUUAAGUUAGCAGCUUCCCUCUCUUUCCUCAACAGAGACUGUUCCAUCUCGAGCCUGCGAACCGCAUUGUUCGCUUUCUCGAGCUGUCUAGUCAUGUUACUCAAUGCAAACUCCAUUUCAGACCGCCUCUUCGUAUUACUCUCUUCUAAUAACUGCCUCUCUUUUCUAACCUCCUCCGCCUCUUCUUUCUCUUUCCUCAGCGCCUUGAGCUCAGGCUGGUCCUUGAGAAGUCUGCUGGUCGCCUGCUUUACUUUCUGAUUGGCCCAGUCAGUCCACACCUGAAGCUCAGUCUCCAGAUCUUUCAUCCUGGGAGCUAGCUUUAAAACCAACUCAUCUCUUUUAUUCCGGGGAACGUAGAUCCCUAGAGAUGCAUCAUAAGGGAUCCCAGUGUAGUAAUCCAGCGCUGGCUCAGAACCAGAAGGUAACAGUGCAGGUGGAGCAUUAACAGCAGGUAUGGCAGUAACAUAUCCACUCCCAUCUAAUGCUGGAGGAUCUUUCACAGUCUCUGAUGCUAUCUUUGAUGGUGAUUUGCCUCUCUUCUCCACUAGGAAGCCGCCGACCGACGCAUACUUUGCAGUCUUGUAGCCACUCCCUUUGCUGUAAGUUCUGAUCUUAUCCACACAUGAUUUUUGCCGCAUCAUGGCCACUUCUUUCUUGGUCCGGCCUUUUCGGCCGGACACUACGGAAGAAGCAGCAACAGAAGAAGAAGAAGCUAAGGUUUUUCUUUUAGCGACUUCACCAGAAGAAGAACCAUUACAGUUCUUGAAGUUCCCAAAUUUGACGACAGGUUCACUGUACUUUGUAGGAUUGCACUCCACAAUGCCAUCUCCUUCCAUCUCAAACGCUUGGAAAACAUUCAAGUCACACAUCAACAGCCUCCACAUGGCUUCGACCGUCGAAACAGACGGCCUAACUUCUUUAACAAGGCUUAUCUUCUCUACCAACGUAUACGCGACGAGCUGCUGCAGAUCUUCAAACAAAUAGUCUCUCAAACCAGAGACUUUCUUCCCACUCUUCAAGAAACUCAACGUAUCAUUCACAAUGUUGGAAACAAGAUCAUUCCCUCCGCAGUAGAGUCUGCUCCCUGAGAUAGCUUUGAGGACAACGUCCUCUCUGUACCCGCAAGCCACGAUCUGAUCCAUUGCGUUACGGAAGAGAGCCAUUAGAUUCGAUGUUAAGAGCUCUUCGAGAUAACAGGCAAACGGAUCAUCCCAUCCUAGGGACUCAGACUCUUCAGACAAAGGAGUUUGAAAUUUUAAUGAAUGUACUAACUCAUAUGGAGGGAACUCAGUUAAGGAAGAGUCAGUGAGAGGUUGAGGAGAGUCAGCUAACUUUCUCUUGUUCUUUCUUCCUUUCACUUGAGGCUGUGGUGGUGGUGACACUCCCACUUUGUUGGAACCAUUGAGAGAAGCAACAACCACACACUCGUUCAUUGCUUUCUGAGACUAUGACAAAAAGAAAAAAAAGAAACGAUUGCGUUCACAAAACGGCGUUUUGAUAGAUUCAAUAAACGAUAAAGAACGAAGCUUUUGAGAUGUAUAAUCAAACUCAAUUCACAUAUUACAAACAUAAAGGUAAUAAAGGAAUUAAAUCGAAUCGAGAUUGAAUUAAUCAAAUCAAUUAGCAAAAACUGACCGGAAUUGGAUUGAAAAGCAGGGGAAAGAUGAUCGGGGGAGAAUUGAUGAGAGAGAGGGAUCGAUGAAGAAGAGUGUUUCAGACAGAGAUUGUACUGUGAGGAGAAGACAGGAAGUGCGU
RNAcentral lists this long non-coding RNA (5141 nucleotides) under Brassica rapa (field mustard). Its description in RNAcentral is "long non-coding RNA (BRAP_LNC006231)". The record is from RNAcentral. Lineage: Eukaryota; Viridiplantae; Streptophyta; Magnoliopsida; Brassicales; Brassicaceae.